Molecule: ribosomal RNA, 315 nt
Filed under: uncultured bacterium
Lineage: Bacteria
Description: bacterial SSU rRNA
Rfam family: Bacterial small subunit ribosomal RNA
Source: RNAcentral
GACGAACGCUGGCGGCGUGCCUAAUACAUGCAAGUAGAACGCUGAAGUCUGGUGCUUGCACUAGACGGAUGAGUUGCGAACGGGUGAGUAACGCGCAGGUAACCUGCCUCAUAGCGGGGGAUAACUAUUGGAACGAUAGCUAAUACCGCAUAACAGUAUUUACCGCAUGGUAGAUGCUUGAAAGGAGCAAUUGCUUCACUAUGAGAUGGACCUGCGUUGUAUUAGCUAGUUGGUGAGGUAACGGCUCACCAAGGCAUCGAUACAUAGCCGACCUGAGAGGGUGAUCGGCCACACUGGGACUGAGACACGGCCCAG